RNAcentral lists this ribosomal RNA (847 nucleotides) under Escherichia coli. RNAcentral describes it as "partial 23S ribosomal RNA". It matches the Rfam family "Bacterial large subunit ribosomal RNA", at positions 2084 to 2925 of the family's 2925-position model. Lineage: Bacteria; Pseudomonadati; Pseudomonadota; Gammaproteobacteria; Enterobacterales; Enterobacteriaceae. The record is from RNAcentral.
AAAGACCCCGUGAACCUUUACUAUAGCUUGACACUGAACAUUGAGCCUUGAUGUGUAGGAUAGGUGGGAGGCUUUGAAGUGUGGACGCCAGUCUGCAUGGAGCCGACCUUGAAAUACCACCCUUUAAUGUUUGAUGUUCUAACGUGGGCCCCUUACCGGGGUUGCGGACAGUGUCUGGUGGGUAGUUUGACUGGGGCGGUCUCCUCCUAAAGAGUAACGGAGGAGCACGAAGGUUGGCUAAUCCUGGUCGGACAUCAGGAGGUUAGUGCAAUGGCAUAAGCCAGCUUGACUGCGAGCGUGACGGCGCGAGCAGGUGCGAAAGCAGGUCAUAGUGAUCCGGUGGUUCUGAAUGGAAGGGCCAUCGCUCAACGGAUAAAAGGUACUCCGGGGAUAACAGGCUGAUACCGCCCAAGAGUUCAUAUCGACGGCGGUGUUUGGCACCUCGAUGUCGGCUCAUCACAUCCUGGGGCUGAAGUAGGUCCCAAGGGUAUGGCUGUUCGCCAUUUAAAGUGGUACGCGAGCUGGGUUUAGAACGUCGUGAGACAGUUCGGUCCCUAUCUGCCGUGGGCGCUGGAGAACUGAGGGGGGCUGCUCCUAGUACGAGAGGACCGGAGUGGACGCAUCACUGGUGUUCGGGUUGUCAUGCCAAUGGCACUGCCCGGUAGCUAAAUGCGGAAGAGAUAAGUGCUGAAAGCAUCUAAGCACGAAACUUGCCCCGAGAUGAGUUCUCCCUGACUCCUUGAGAGUCCUGAAGGAACGUUGAAGACGACGACGUUGAUAGGCCGGGUGUGUAAGCGCAGCGAUGCGUUGAGCUAACCGGUACUAAUGAACCGUGAGGCUUAACCUU